GGGGGCGUAAAGGUUUCGACGGGGAGUUUGAGAUGUGAUAAGCGUGCAGAAGAGCGUGACUUCUAUAAAAAACGUAUUUUUAAAAACAAACGACAACAAUAAAGUUGCUUUAGCUGCCUAAUUUAGGCGGCCGUCAUAUUCGGGAGUACUGCGGCCCGAAAUAUGGCGUCACCUAGCAGUGAACGUGAGUGAGCGAAAGCUUUGACGCACACCAUGAUUUUAUGAAGCUACUAAGUUGUAUAGCUUGACGGUUAGCGCUACAGCGAGGGAAUGUAAAUGAUCGUCUGCGCACGGAGAAGUUUGCAAGGAUGGCUUUUCGGACAGGGGUUCGAUUCCCCUCGCCUCCACCA
RNAcentral lists this transfer-messenger RNA (350 nucleotides) under Eubacteriales. RNAcentral's name for it is "SIG636 sp015064945 Standard tmRNA". It matches the Rfam family "transfer-messenger RNA". Rfam says of the family: Bacterial tmRNA, also known as 10Sa RNA or SsrA, is named for its dual tRNA and mRNA-like properties. The record is from RNAcentral. Lineage: Bacteria; Bacillati; Bacillota; Clostridia. RNAcentral also lists the same sequence under 1 other name.